UGGGGAAUAUUGCACAAUGGGCGCAAGCCUGAUGCAGCCAUGCCGCGUGUGUGAAGAAGGCCUUCGGGUUGUAAAGCACUUUCAGCGGGGAGGAAGGCGUUAAGGUUAAUAACCUUGGCGAUUGACGUUACCCGCAGAAGAAGCACCGGCUAACUCCGUGCCAGCAGCCGCGGUAAUACGGAGGGUGCAAGCGUUAAUCGGAAUUACUGGGCGUAAAGCGCACGCAGGCGGUCUGUCAAAUCGGAUGUGAAAUCCCCGGGCUCAACCUGGGAACUGGAUUGGAAACUGGCAGGCUAGAGUCUUGUAGAGGGGGGUAGAAUUCCAGGUGUAGCAGUGAAAUGCGUAGAGAUCUAGAGGAAUACCGGUGGCGAAGGCGGCCCCCGGGACAAAGACUGACGCUCAGGUGCGAAAGAGUGGGGAGCAAACAGG
This 429-nucleotide ribosomal RNA is filed under the name Chloroflexota bacterium. Its description in RNAcentral is "Chloroflexi bacterium partial 16S ribosomal RNA". It matches the Rfam family "Bacterial small subunit ribosomal RNA", at positions 355 to 776 of the family's 1533-position model. The record is from RNAcentral. Lineage: Bacteria; Bacillati; Chloroflexota.